RNAcentral lists this non-coding RNA (784 nucleotides) under Casmara patrona. Lineage: Eukaryota; Metazoa; Arthropoda; Insecta; Lepidoptera; Oecophoridae. The record is from RNAcentral.
AAAUAAAAUAUUAUCAUUUAUAAAAUUUAUUAAAAAUUUAUUUUACAUAUAAAUUUUAGUGUAUUUUAAAUUAUUUUAAAAAUAAUUAUUUUAUUAAAUAAAAAAUUAGUAGUAAUUAAUAUUAAAAAUUUAAGAAAUUAAGAUUUAGUAAUAUUAAAAUUAGUAACAAAUUUUGUGCCAGCAGUUGCGGUUAAACAAAAAUUAAAUUAAAUUUUUUUUAAUAAUUAAUAAAUAUAAUUAAGUUAAAAUUUAAAUUUUAAAUUAUUAGGUGAAAUUUUAAUUUAAUAAAAAUUUAAUUAAAAAUAUGAAUUUAAUAGGUUAAUUUAUAAACUAGGAUUAGAUACCCUAUUAUAAUAAAAUUAAAUUAAAAAUAUUAAAAUAGUAAAUAAUUAUAUUGAAACUUAAAUAAUUUGGCGGUAUUUUAGUUUAUUUAGAGGAAUCUGUUUAGUAAUUGAUAGUCCACGAAUAAAUUUACUUAAUUUUUAAUUUUGUAUAUCGUUGUUAGAAAAAUAUUUAAAAAUAAAAAAAAUAUUUUAAAAUUUAAUUAAUAAAUUAAAUCAGAUCAAGAUGCAGAUAAUAAUUAAGAUUAGAAUGGAUUACAAUAGAUUUAUUUAAAUGGAAAUUGAAUUGUUAAAUUUAAUUGAAGGUGGAUUUAAAUGUAAUUUUAUUUAGUUUAAUAGGAUGAUUAAAAAUUAAAAUAUGUACAUAUUGCCCGUCGCUUUCAUAAAUAAAUUGGAAUAAGUCGUAACAAAGUAGAGAUACUGGAAAGUGUUUCUAGAAAGAU